AUUGAACGCUGGCGGCAGGCUUAACACAUGCAAGUCGAACGAGUGGCGGACGGGUGAGUAAUGUAUGGGGAUCUGCCCGAUAGAGGGGGAUAACUACUGGAAACGGUGGCUAAUACCGCAUACUAUUGGAUGAACCCAUAUGGGAUUAGCUAGUUGGUGGGGUAAAGGCUCACCAAGGCGACGCUCCGUAGCUGGUUUGAGAGGACGACCAGCCACACUGGGACUGAGACACGGCCCAGACUCCUACGGGAGGCAGCAGUGGGGAAUUGUGCACAAUGGGCGAAACCCUGAUCCAGCCAUCCCGCGUGUAUGAUGAAGGCCUUCGGGUUGUAAAGUACUUUCAGCAGGGAGGCGUUACCCGCAGAAGAAGCACCGGCUAACUCCGUGCCAGCAGCCGCGGUAAUUC
Molecule: ribosomal RNA, 406 nt
Filed under: uncultured bacterium
Lineage: Bacteria
Description: partial 16S ribosomal RNA
Rfam family: Bacterial small subunit ribosomal RNA
Source: RNAcentral